Molecule: ribosomal RNA, 245 nt
Filed under: uncultured bacterium
Lineage: Bacteria
Description: partial 16S ribosomal RNA
Rfam family: Bacterial small subunit ribosomal RNA
Source: RNAcentral
AGCGAACGCUGGCGGCAGGCCUAACACAUGCAAGUCGAGCGCCCAGCAAUGGGAGGCGGCAGACGGGAUAGUAACACGUGGGAACGUACCUUUCAGUUCGGAACAACCCAGGGAAACGUUGGGCUAAUACCGAAUACGUCCGUAAGGAGAAGAUUUAUCGCUGAAAGAUCGGCCCGCGUCUGAUUAGCUAGUUGGUGAGGUAAUGGCUCACCAAGGCGACGAUCAGUAGCUGGCUGAGAGGAUGA